ACUCAAAUGAAUUGACGGGGGCUCACACAAGCGGUGGAGUAUGUGGCUUAAUUCGAGGCUACGCGCAAAACCUUAUCCCGGGCUUGACAUGCACGGAUUAGCCGGCGGAAACGUCGGUGACGCCGCAAGGUGGAACGUGCACAGGUGCUGCAUGGCUGUCGUCAGCUCGUGCCGUGAGGUGUUGGGUUAAGUCCCGUAACGAGCGAAACCCCUGCCCUUAGUUGCCAGCACGUCAUGGUGGGGACUCUAGGGGGACCGCCGGCGUUAAGCCGGAGGAAGGCGGGGAUGACGUCAAGUCCUCAUGGCCCUUAUGCCCGGGGCUGCACACGUACUACAAUGGGCCGGACAGAGCGACGCCAACCGGCAACGGCGCGCCAAUCGCAGAAACCGGCCCUCAGUUCGGAUUGCGGGCUGCAACCCGCCCGCAUGAAGCUGGAAUCGCUAGUAAUCGCGGAUCAGCAUGCCGCGGUGAAUGGGUUCCUGAGCCUUGUACACACCGCCCGU
RNAcentral lists this ribosomal RNA (504 nucleotides) under uncultured bacterium. Its description in RNAcentral is "partial 16S ribosomal RNA". It matches the Rfam family "Bacterial small subunit ribosomal RNA", at positions 899 to 1397 of the family's 1533-position model. The record is from RNAcentral.